This 1787-nucleotide long non-coding RNA is filed under the name Homo sapiens (human). Its description in RNAcentral is "HSALNT0052291". The record is from RNAcentral. Lineage: Eukaryota; Metazoa; Chordata; Mammalia; Primates; Hominidae.
CCACCACCAAGCUUGCAAGCAGAAGAGGCAGCAAGUGAUGCUGAAGGCUGUGCUGCAGCCACUUCACCGGAACCUAGAGCUACCUGUGAACAGGUCUCCUACACGUUGAAGAUUUUUCUGGAUUUAGGGUGUCUAACCUUUGAUGGGAAAGGGCAGCUUCAUCUUGGAGUGUUUACUUUCAAGAAUUGCUAUGGGCUAAAAAUCAAUUCUCUUUAAAAGCAAAGAUUUAAUCUGAUAAGGAAUCAAUGCAGCAUGCUAAAUACCUUUCAUAUGGCAUGAAAACGUCUUCAGUUACUCAAGCCACAGGCAAUGAGAAUAAGGUGCCACAGCACCGUAUUUUUCACAAAAAGAGUGACCUGGGAUUCAAGAAACCUGUAUAGUAUAACUAUCGCCAGUUCGUUUUGUGGCUUUGGGCAAGUCACUUCACCUUUUGUGAAAGUCUGGAGCUUCUUUAAAAUUUCUGAACUGCAUUAGAUAACGCUUUAAAAAUAUACCUGACAUUCUGUAACUUUAAAUAAAUGAAAAAUGCCAAUCUAUUAAGUGCUUAAUUUUGUGCCGGGCACGAUUUCAAAUUCUUUCCUUAUUUCACUUAGUUAUAAAAUGGAGGCACAAGAAGUUUCCUAAGUAGUCCAGUAUGGCAGAGCUAGUGAUGGAGUCAGGGUAAAACCUACUUCGAGUCUGGUCUUAACCACGAUGAUGCUCCUUCGACGAUUUCUUCGAGUACUGGGCCCUGUUCAACCUCAUCUUGGUAUCACUAAACGCUCGUGUGUGUGUCUGGUGGUUACAUCUUCCCAAACUGGAUUUUAAAUGAAUACAGUGAACCCUAACGUUUUUCUGGUGUGGAUAGUAAGUAGGCCCAUUGGAUUAACAAUACUUAAGCUUGGGUAAUUGAAAGCAUUUUUUAAAAUGAAGACGGUCCUAUUUUGGAAAUGCAGAAAGGCGAGAUGAAAGCCAAACUCUGACAGUUAAGUCCUAACCUCCAGUACCUCAGAAUAUGAACUUAUUUGGAAAUAAGCUGUUGAAGAACACCAUGUGACAACAAAGGCUCCAACUUCAGUUACCCAGCUGCAAGCCAAAGGAAUGCCAAAGACAGCCAGCAAACCUCCAGAAGAGAGGAAGAGACAAGGCAGGAUUCCCCGCUGGAGGCUUCAGAAAGAGCAUGUCACUGCCCACCCCCACAUACUGCCUCUGGUUUGUGGUACUUUGUUACAGCAGCCCUUGGAAGCUAAUACAAAUGCUAUUAUAAAGCCUUUUUCUUUAAAGGGGUCUUUCUUUUAAAAUUUAUUCUUAAGUACUUUAUGGUUUUUGAUCAUUGAGAGAGACUGCCUACUAAUUCAUCAAGUUUUCUAACAUCCAGCCACCCUAACACAAUUCUUAUUAAUUCUAUUAAGGGCUCAGUCUUUUUUGUUUUUAACUAAAAUCACUUGGGUUAAUAGGUAUACAAUGACAUUUUCAACAAAUAUGUUAAUAAUUGCUUUGAAGCCAAAGUAUCAUUGUCUAUCUACUUAAGAUAUAUUACUCUUGGAAAUUCUGCUAAAUUUGUUUACUUGCUAAUAUUUUAGUUUAAGGUUUCUGCAUUUAUAUUAGUAAGAAGGCAGCAUAAAUCUUUUGUGCAACUUAAUUAGCCUUGGGUAUUAAUAACUUGUCAGUGUUUUUUGAGAAAAAUUGCAUAGGUUUCCAUCUUUUCCUUUGGUCUAGAAUAAUUCAAGAGGGUACUGUAAUUAUCUGUUCUUUAAAAUUAAGCUUUUAACCAAUCUGACCCUGAUACUUUAAGGACAGGUCUUUAA